Microplitis demolitor is the source of this 467-nucleotide long non-coding RNA. RefSeq lists it as uncharacterized. The transcript is spliced from 3 exons. Lineage: Eukaryota; Metazoa; Arthropoda; Insecta; Hymenoptera; Braconidae. The record is from RefSeq and is a predicted model, not a curated record.
ACCAGGUAAAGACUGCUUGCAUAUACAUGAGUGAAUCAAUUAACCUGUUGUAGAUUUUUUCGAACCUAAAAGAACAUGACUUUUCUCGCGAAAUAGUACAAAAAUUUGAACUUUCCAUUUCUGGUGACGCUGGUAGUCAAUGCAACCAAAUCAAAAAGUACUAUUAUAAUCCACGAGACACUGUCAAUAUACAUCAAAACCCGAGAAGAAUAUUACUACCGACGUGAGUGACUGAGUGGACAGUCUAGGGUUCGAAUCCUGGCUUGGGUUUCCCUCUUGAUAGCAAUACAAUCACCGACUAUACUGGCUGGGAUUUUUGAAGUUUUCUCUGUCACACUACGAUUGCAGCGUUGAAGGCAAAUGCGGUAAAGUUUUGGAAAAAGGGUGGCAAGUCGGUCCGCACAUAAGGAGACAGAAGCGAAAAGUAGGAAUAAAGGUAAAAACUGAGAACCUGCAAAGAUGUACUG